GCCGGGGCUUCUUCUGCGGGUACCGUCAUUAUCUUCCCCGCUGAAAGGGGUUUACAACCCUAAGGCCUUCUUCACCCACGCGGCAUGGCUGGAUCAGGCUUUCGCCCAUUGUCCAAUAUUCCCC
RNAcentral lists this ribosomal RNA (124 nucleotides) under uncultured bacterium. RNAcentral describes it as "partial 16S ribosomal RNA". The record is from RNAcentral.